RNAcentral lists this ribosomal RNA (492 nucleotides) under uncultured bacterium. RNAcentral's name for it is "partial 16S ribosomal RNA". It matches the Rfam family "Bacterial small subunit ribosomal RNA", at positions 29 to 507 of the family's 1533-position model. The record is from RNAcentral.
AGUGAACGCUGGCGGUAGGCCUAACACAUGCAAGUCGAACGGCAGCACAGUAAGAGCUUGCUCUUACGGGUGGCGAGUGGCGGACGGGUGAGGAAUACAUCGGAAUCUACUUUUUCGUGGAGGAUAACGUAGGGAAACUUACGCUAAUACCGCAUACGACCUACGGGUGAAGGCAGGGGAUCUUCGGACCUUGCGCGAUUGAAUGAGCCGAUGUCGGAUUAGCUAGUUGGCGGGGUAAAGGCCCACCAAGGCGACGAUCCGUAGCUGGUCUGAGAGGAUGAUCAGCCACACUGGAACUGGGACACGGUCCAGACUCCUACGGGAGGCAGCAGUGGGGAAUAUUGGACAAUGGGCGCAAGCCUGAUCCAGCCAUACCGCGUGGGUGAAGAAGGCCUUCGGGUUGUAAAGCCCUUUUGUUGGGAAAGAAAAGCAGCAGGUUAAUACCCCGCUGUUCUGACGGUACCCAAAGAAUAAGCACCGGCUAACUUCGUG